UUAGGUGUGUGUAUGGGUUUUCCUCACCUUUUCCUGAGAAAGGUUGUUUUUGAAUAAAUUCUAUGUAUUCGGGGUCUAUCUCAAAACUAGAUGUUAUGAUAGGCUUUGAAGAUUUUGGUGGUUCUAGAUGUGUGCCCAUAGGUCUAUGAAAUUCAUAGAUAGACAUGUUUGAAUUCAUAAUAGACCAGAGAUCAAGGAUUAGAUAAGAAGAAAGAAUAGCAGAGAUGAGGCAAAGGAUAAAAGGAAAAUAUUUUUUUUAUUUAUUUAUUUUUUAUAAAAUGAUUAAACUAGUUCGUAGUCAACUCAGCAACCGUUUCCCCGGCAACGGCGCCAAAAAUGCUUGUUGACACUUGCUAACACCACUUGAAUACUAGGUUAUCAUCCCCAGCGUGGCACUAGAGUGUACUAUGGUAUUUAUACGCACACAGAUAAUCCGCAAGCGCACGGAUACCGUUGAAGCUUUUACCCGGUUAAAGGUUUUAUCGUAUCCACAGGGAAACGGGAGAACUGAUCUACGCUCUAACUUAACUAAGAUAAGUAAAUAGGUGUGAAUAGGAAAGAUGGUAGAAUCGAAUAAGAACAAUAUUAAAGGUAAGAUAACAGUGAGUGAUAAUAUGGGAAUAGAGAGUAGAGCAAUUAUAGUAUAUGGGUGAUGGUAGCAGAAUAGAGAGGAUAACUAUGGUUUCUCUACUUCAAAGGGGUAUGUCUAUGUCUGGGACGAACCACGUGAUAAGAGUACACCACAAAGGAUGCAUAUCCAUAGGCCGAUAAACCCUACCCGUCCUGCUAACGAGAGGUGGACUACAGGGGACCAACGUAACUGUCACCUACGUGGCCUACCACACGAUCUAGCUAGUCAGGGGAUAUCCACAAGUAAUCUAGGUCUAAGCACCACGCUUACACCUAUACUACAACUCUAACCUAUAGGGUCCUAUAGAUUAGAAGUACUCAAAAGAGUUGUGAACCAGAAUAUACAUGAUUAGUAAUUGCAUAAUGAAUUAGAAGUAGAUUACCAGAGUCAUCCCAUGAGCAAGCUUGAUUAGAGCUUGAUCAUGGUGAAGUACAACCGGAGGAAGAACCGACAGGCCGGCCUCUCCUCUAAUCCUCCUUCGGUCUCCAUCUCGCUACUAUCUAGAUCUACUCUAGUUUAGAGAAGAGAGGAGAGCUCUCAUCUCUAAACCCUAGCUUUUGCUCUGUCUAUGAAUAAUGAAUAAUGAUCAAGGGGUGCCUCCUCCAGGGGCCAGGGGGUCUGGUUUUAUAGUCCCCUCAAGUGAACCUGGGUCGUCGGAUCAAACCGACAUUGAUUGAACGGUUAUUCUUGAUCCUUUAGGUCGGUGGAGCAUAAUCCGCGAGAUUGAGCGUGAUUGGCCGAAAAAGGUGGGCGGGCGCACUAAGGACUUGGGCGGGCGCCCUGUCCCUGACUCCGUUCGGUCUCCGCUUCCUUCCCGUGGCUUCUGGAGUCUUCUAGAUGUAAGAUAAUUGCGCGGCACGUUGAUAUCUCUAUGUAAUCCCGACGUGUGGGCCUUUCUUCCUUAUUUCCUGAUAACCCCCUGCAGAAAUAGACAAACACCAAAACUCGUGGAAUUCUGUCAGAUAAAACCCUAAGUCUCGAUGUUGAUUUCAUUUGGAUCCUUUUCUUUGUUUAUUUGAUAGUUAAAUUUGAUACUUAAGGACCGUCAACAGGGGAUACAUACAUUUCUUGCACUUUGAAGCUUUUUGAGGAGAAUGAGAUGCUCUAUAUUUUCUUUUUCUUUCCUCUCAGGUGGGUACCUUGUACCCCUAAUUCUACUGUCAGACACUUGUCCAUUUUUACCUCUCGUCUUACUUUUUCUUUUCUUCGAGGUUUCGGGCACUUGCCCCUUUUUAUUUCCUCAUAUAUUUUUUUUUCUUCUUUUUUUUAGAGCACUCAUCUCCUAAAAUAAUAUAGCAAGUGGUAGUAACCAAAAGAACUGGAGCAUUUAUUUCAUUGGGAAUAACAAGGAUAGAAAAAUGUUUUUGGCUAUUCUCUCCCGGAUUAGGAGUAGAAUAAUUUUGGGUGAAUCUGGAGAUGGAAAUGAGUGGAUGUAUGUGGAUGCGUACUUCUGGAAUAGAAGCAACAUAUACGAGUGACCAUGCAAGUGAAUCUUGAUUUUAACCACAUGACAAGCUCCUAAGGGUCUACACAGCUUGACCACACUCAAUGCUCAUAAGCAGUAAAAAGUAAAUAUAUGGUUCAUAGUCUAAUAAUCAUGUAUAUGUGGCUGUGGUAGGAUUUUAAACUCUCAUCAUACAAGAAAUCAUCGUUUGUUAUUUUAAAGAUUUUCAAAGAUAAAAUUCUCCAGAAUUCUAGCAUCUCCAGAAAUAGAUAAACAGCAGCUCAACCUUCCCAUAUCAUAUCCGUUAACGACUUAGACUUUAGAUCAAGUACUCUUCCCACAAGUUCAGGUUUAGAGCAAAUCUUAACUCAUAACAGUUAUGCCUAAACUUGAGAGAGAUUUCAAUUUUAAGAACUAGUCAUGGCAGAGCAACUAUUCAUCAUUUCCAUGUGAGAGCUUAUCAUGAAGGUUCAUAGCAAACUUUAUUUAUUUAGCAAACUAAGCAAAGAUAUAUAUAAAAGCACAAAAUCUUUAUUUGGGUUUUUAUGAUUAUGCAUCUUUUUAUUAUUUGAGUAAAGUAUAAAUGCGAGUAGAAACACUUAGCUCGAUAAAUGGGGGUGCUCUCCCCCAAGCUGGAUUUUGACGUAAUUUCUUCUGAUGUAGCUAGCAGGUGACGGAGGUAUAUUUGAAUGUCGGCAGCACCCUGACAGCGAUUAGGAUGUCCUCCGUCUGCUAGUCUUCUUUGAUCCUUGAAUUCUAUGGAGCUCAAAUAGACAACAAAGCUUUGUGGAACUGGUUAAGUGUUAGCAUAAAUAUCUAGCCUUUAUCAUGUUGAGCCUCCUCAAUAAAUGUUAUUUAUUUAGCAGGAUCAUGCACUUAUUAUUUUUAUAUUUUUAUUAUAAGAUGAAAACAUAUUUAUUUUAUGCCACCACAGUGAAUGUACCUAUCGGUUUUAUGCCAUGAGCAUACUCACAUGGGGCUUACUAUUUUUAACAUUUUUAUUUUCUUUUCGAGAUGAUAUGAAUCCUGAUUAACUAAGCAAACUAUAAUUGAAUAAUUGAAAGGAAAAGGAUAACUACCAAGUUUACCUCUUGGCAAGGCGUUCGAUGUUUUUAAGUCAUCCGAACGGGACUCUUUGUUUUCUCAGUUGUCCUGGGAUUCGCUGGAUGGCGUAGUCGGUGAUUCCGGUGGCGCCUCCUCUUCGUGUAUAACUAUCUUCUCCCUCCACACGUGACUCGGUGCUACGGUCUCCUCAGAAUAGUUCUGUUCAAGUUGUAUGUCUUCAGAGCUUACCAUUUCUCCUUCAUAGUCUGCCCAUCCGUCCGUGAUGAUUUGCCUCAUGUGAUUUCGGUUGCGUCGCCUUCUUCUUGUCCUGACUUGCUUAGAAUCUUCAACUAUAUAGUUAGAAUCAUUAAAGUAGUUGUGUACCUUCUCAGAGGGGAAGUGCAUGUGGACUUCUCCGGUUCCAAUGUAGAUGAUGGCUUUGAUAGUGUUGAGGAACGGUCUUCCAAGGACGGUAGGUGGAUCAUACUCGUCUUUUCCCAUGUCAAUGACCUGAAAAUCGUCUGGAGCUGAAUGUAUCUUGGUUGUAGGAGCAUGGUUCUAUGCAGGAGCUGAUAAGUGACUGCGGCCAUUAUGUUGUCGUCAGAUCCGGUGUCGUAGAGUGUCUUCUGAAAAGAGUAUCCAUUGAUUGUGCACUCAAUGCUUGGAACACCAGGGUUGUCCUUCUUGAUAAGGAAAGGCGACUUGAGUCGACGAUCUUUGACCUCUUUGAACUGCAGUGACCAUCUUAGCUGACUCGGUCCACAUUUGCUUGUUCCUGUUCCUCCUGUUGGUCUUCUUGCUUCGUGUCGGGAUUGCUCUGAAGUUUGUGUAGUCUUGUUCUUGAAGGAAAGUCUCCUUCUUCCCCUUGAUGUAGAAACUGAUCUUGGCAGCAUUAACAUAGAUGACAGCUCUGGUGUUUAGGAAUGGCCUCCCUAAGAUGAUGGAUGCCCUCUCCUCAGUACCAGUUUCUAUCACCACGAAGUCUGCUAGAGCGUACAAGGUACCAACUCGGACGCAGAGGUUCUUCAAUAUUUCCUUUAGGAAACUGAGUGUCCGAUCUGCAACCCUGGGCAUAAUGUUGACGCUGGAGCCAAAGUCGCAGAGUGCUUCUAGGAAGUCCACCAUGCCGAUGGAGAUCGGGAUGACGGGGCGUCCUGGAUCACCUCUCUGAGUAAUUAGGCCUCUGUUGAUUCCAACCUUAAUUUUGUUGAGGACGGUUGUAGUAAUAGUUGUUAUUGUUGUUGAUGUAGUUCAUGUCCUCAAGCAUCUCAGGGCAGUGAUUGCCUGAGUGUCCAAUAUCUCCAGUGUGUUUGUGCUCGUAGAUCCUGGUUCUUCACUUGGUGGAGUCUGGGAGUUGUAAAACUCCUUCAUAUUAUGCUCAAAGUGUUUCUGCUCAUAGAGACAAGGCAGAGAUCAAGUGCAUGGGCCCUGUUGGUGGAAAAUACCAAUAGAACCAAAAGUGUAUUUGUUCUUCUCUAACCUUAAGCAUAGUGAGCAGGACAAAGUUGAUGGAUCAUGAGUGUAGCAUUUGUCAGAUCAGAUGGCUCAACCUAAUGGAAAGAUAAUCAAUCUAUAUUUAUGUUUUGUUUAUAUCUUCCAAAGAUUGAAUGUGCAACAUAUUAGCUUAUAUGAUUAGGAGUGUGGGAUCACGAAGGUAGUACUAAGAACAAAGAUUAAAGAGCUAAACAUGUUGAAUUAAUUAGGUUGGUUAAUUUAGAGUUAUAAAUCAUACAUGUUUGUCUCUUUAUUUAUGUGAAUGCCAGAACCAGGGAGAAGCUUAUAAAAGCGAUAGUCACGUACCUUAAGAUGUUACCUUACUUGAAGAGUGAUGGUAUAGUAUCACCUUGUGGAAGCUUUCCUUUCUUAGUGGUUGUGCAUCGUGUUUGUGGCACCCUCCAUGGAUCAUCUCUUUAUGAUGAAUGAGCUAUGUCUUCCUCGUGCAAGUUGUUAAAUUUCAUGUGUCUCCUUUAUCUCCAAUGAGCUUGUAGCUCAGGACUUCCCAGGUUAAUAUUGAAAGUUUUCCUGCAGGGGUUAGUCCGACAAAAUAUACCAAUGCCUACUCAAGCAGUUUUUAGUUCAAUAACCAAACUAGACUCCAUGUCUAAUCAGAUUAAGGAAGGCUAUUUAACCUAAGCACCAUGCUUAAUUUAAAUGCCGAUGGAAGUAUGUCGAGUACUUCCAAACCAACACUUACUAGGAUAAACAAAGGUAGCAUGAUGGCAUUUAUAGAGAUCUACUCAAGUGGAGAUGAAAAAUAAGUUUAGUGUUUAGAAAAAUUGAGCAUGCCUCAAAAGUAGGGACAACCAACAUAGCAAUAUGGCAAAGGAUGUUUUUAUGUAAAGUACUCCCCCAAGCUUGAAUUUUGCAAAAUUCAAGACUGGAUGAAUUUAAUUCAAUGUUGCAUGAUGAUUGGUUGGUCAUACCUUGCGCUUGUUAUUCCUCGGAUCUUCUUGCUCCAAUCUUGGAAAGGUUAGUGGCAAGAAUACCCGAAGGAAUAUUUCUACAAUUAUCUUUAUAUGCUCAAUACACAAGGCAAUGUUGUAAAUAAUUAGAAGUUCAUGAUCAGUGCUUGUUUUAGGACACUAAGCUUUGGGAAACCAUCAAUUUAUGUCAGCGACGUGGUUUCCCCUCCAACGCCAACCUAUAUCAAAAUCCAACUCAACGAGAUCUGCAAUAUUUAUUAUAUACAUAUGCAUCGACAACCGCUCUUUUAAAGUUGUUAUAAAUAGAAAGGAAGAGAGGGUUGGAGAUCUCAAAUGUGGUGAUAGCACAUGGAUUUUUAAUGCCCUCUAGCCAUUGAUGUUGCUCUUCUCGAUCCUCCUUGUGGUCUUGGUGACUCUUAUGAAUGGGAUGUCUAGAGAAAUUCAUAGGCUUAUCGGGAGGUUCAAAAGAAAGAGCAUAGUAGAAAUUAUUAGACUCAAGGAUGGGAUGGAUAGCCGAAUCAUGGGAUUGAAAUGUUUGGAAAUUGGCUAUUGAAACUUCCUUUCCUUGUCUGGGAGAUGAUUCCUUCUCUAUCUCUAAGAUUUUUCUAUGAAGACUAGUACAAGAAGGAUGUCCACGAAUGAAGACAUACCUUCCUUUACUGAUAGAUAAAGAAAGAAAGACUCUACCAAAGGGUAUAUGAUUAAGACUAAUGUAAAAAUAUAGAGAAAAAACAUGGUCUUGUUGGGCUAGGUUUAAACUAGAAUUUAUAGAAAAAUUAAAAGAUUCCCUAGGUGUAGCUAAAAGUGCAUUAUCUUCUUGAUUAAAAGAUAGGACCUCAGCUAUAAAAAAGGGUUGGUUUUGACCUAUUGCAAUCAACUCCGGACACAAAUCAUAAUUAGGGGCAGGACUUGUUAACUCCCAUGGUCUAUGGCUGGUCUCCGAAUGUGCAAAGAAUUUAAUAAUAGGUAUGGAAUUUAAGUUAUCCAUAAAGAUAAAAGUAAAAAGAUAAAAGAAUAAAAGUAUAAAAGUAUAAUACAAGAUAAUAGCAAGACUCAAAGUUAUCUUAGCAAACCGUCUUUCUCUCCGGCAACGGCGCCAGAAAUGCUUGUUGAUAUUUGGUAACGCAAUAAGGAAAUGAUCCGCAAGCGCACGGAUAUCGUUGAGCAUUUCACCCGAGAGGUUAUCCAGAGUAUCGUAUUUAUAUUUUUACCACUGGGAGAAAGGGUGCAUCUGACUAACCAAAUCUAUUGAUACUAUCCCUUUAGGCUACAAAGAAUGUUUCUCGAUGUGAGUGAUGUAUAGAGAAGACUGCAACCGUAGUCUCGUUCUAACCUUGGUAAGGAUCAUCUAAUGUUCUAUUGGGGAAGCUUACGGAAUCUAGACACCACAAAGGAUGUUCGACCCGCACCUAUAAACCCUACCCGUCCUGCUAACAAGAUAUGGGAUACAAAGGUAACACGGAAAUGUCACGUUCCUCGCUACUACCACGGUCCAGCUAGUCAGGGGAUAUCUAUGAGUACCCUAGACUAAACACCACGUUUACGCUAGCAAUGAUUACUCUAAUACUCAACCGGAAGAGGACUAAAGUAAACUCAUAAACCAAAGAACAAUAAAACAAGAACUUACUAGAAUUAGAAGUCGAAUUACUGAAGAGUCCUAGGAGCAAGCCUCAGGUUAGAAGACUUGAUCCUGCAGGUACAACUCGGAGUAGACACCGACAGGCCGGCCUUCCUCCGAUCUACACCUCCACUCUAUCUCUCUCAAUCUAGUAGAAACUAGAAGAUCUAUUUCUACUCACAUUGGUUGCUAAGCCUAAAAAGAAAUAUUAUUUAGAGAAGAGGUUUUCCUUCGAGGGCACCCCUCAACUCUAUGAUAACUUCUUGUCUUCUCCAGUGGCCAAGGGGGUCUCCAUAUAUAGUCCUCCUCCUCCAUGCAUUUUUGGGUCGGUAGGCUGUUGACACUUGCUAACACCACUUGAAUACUAGGUUGUCAUCCCCAGCAUGGCACUAGAGUGUACUAUGGUAUUUAUACGCACACAGAUAAUCCGCAAGCGCACGGAUACCGUUGAAGCUUUUACCCGGUUAAAGGUUUUAUCGUAUCCACAGGGAAACGGGAGAACUGAUCUACGCUCUAACUUAACUAAGAUAAGUAAAUAGGUGUGAAUAGGAAAGAUGGUAGAAUCGAAUAAGAACAAUAUUAAAGGUAAGAUAACAGUGAGUGAUAAUAUGGGAAUAGAGAGUAGAGCAAUUCUAGUAUAUGGGCGAUGGUAGC
Molecule: long non-coding RNA, 7814 nt
Filed under: Sorghum bicolor (sorghum)
Lineage: Eukaryota; Viridiplantae; Streptophyta; Magnoliopsida; Poales; Poaceae
Description: long non-coding RNA (SBIC_LNC000877)
Source: RNAcentral